Sapajus apella (tufted capuchin) is the source of this 119-nucleotide long non-coding RNA. RefSeq lists it as uncharacterized. The record is from RefSeq and is a predicted model, not a curated record. Lineage: Eukaryota; Metazoa; Chordata; Mammalia; Primates; Cebidae. The transcript is spliced from 2 exons.
GGGCCGGGCGCAGGAGCUCAUGCCUAUAAUCCCAGCACUUUGGGAGGGUGAGGCGGUCGGAUCACCGGAGGUUAGGAGUUUGAGACCAGCCUGGCCAACAUAGUGAAACCCCGUCUCUA